RNAcentral lists this ribosomal RNA (767 nucleotides) under Limnonectes khasianus (Khasi Hills frog). Its description in RNAcentral is "partial 16S ribosomal RNA". It matches the Rfam family "Bacterial large subunit ribosomal RNA", at positions 1523 to 2536 of the family's 2925-position model. The record is from RNAcentral. Lineage: Eukaryota; Metazoa; Chordata; Amphibia; Anura; Dicroglossidae.
AAAUACCCAAACUUAACCUAAACCCUUUAUCUCUACUGAGUGAUUCUAUAUUUGUAUAGAAACCCCAAUGCUAAAACUAGUAACAAGAAAACGACUUUCUCCAUAAUAUACCUAUAAGUCAAAAUGGACAAACCACUGACAAUCAACGCCAUGAGCCCAAUAUAAUAACCCUCCAAGAAAAUCUUAUAUAUUUAGGCGUUAACCUUACACAAGAGUAUUUCCGGAAAGAUUAAAAGAAAGGGAAGGAACUCGGCAAAUCUUAACCCCGCCUGUUUACCAAAAACAUCGCCUCUUGAUAACCCAUAAGAAGGUCCAGCCUGCCCAGUGAUAUAAUUCAACGGCCGCGGUACCCUGACCGUGCGAAGGUAGCAUAAUCACUUGUUCUCUAAAUAAGGACUAGUAUCAAUGGCACCACGAGGGAUAUACUGUCUCCCCUUUUUAAUCAGUGAAACUGAUCUCCCCGUGAAGAAGCGGGGAUGAACCUACGACGAGAAGACCCCAUGGAGCUUUAAACCCAAUAACACCAACACUUAAGUAUACCCAUAAAAUAAACAGAGCUGUUUAUUGGUUUUAGGUUGGGGUGACCACGGAGUAAAACUAAGCCUCCACGACGAAUACACCUAUCUCAGAGCUACCCCUCUAAGAAUCAAAACUUUGACGUAACCUGAUCCGACUUUCGAUCAACGAACCAAGUUACCCUGGGGAUAACAGCGCAAUCCAUUUCAAGAGCCCCUAUCGACAAAUGGGUUUACGACCUCGAUGUUGGA